UACGAAGGGUGCUAGCGUUGUUCGGAAUUACUGGGCGUAAAGCGUGCGCAGGCGGUCUUCCAAGUCAGUGGUGAAAGCCCGGAGCUCAACUCCGGAAUUGCCAUUGAAACUGUGAGACUUGAGGACGAGAGAGGUGAGUGGAAUUCCCAGUGUAGAGGUGAAAUUCGUAGAUAUUGGGAAGAACACCAGUGGCGAAGGCGGCUCACUGGCUCGUUUCUG
RNAcentral lists this ribosomal RNA (219 nucleotides) under uncultured prokaryote. Its description in RNAcentral is "partial 16S ribosomal RNA". It matches the Rfam family "Bacterial small subunit ribosomal RNA", at positions 524 to 742 of the family's 1533-position model. The record is from RNAcentral.